AGCGAACGCUGGCGGCAGGCCUAACACAUGCAAGUCGAGCGCCCCGCAAGGGGAGCGGCAGACGGGAGAGUAACACGUGAGAACGUACCCUUUGGUUCGGAACAACCCAGGGAAACUUGGGCUAAUACCGGAUAAGCCCUUACGGGGAAAGAUUCAUCGCCGAAGGAUCGGCCCACGUCUGAUUAGCUAGUUGGUGGGGUAACGGCCCACCAAGGCGACGAUCAGUAGCUGGUCUGAGAGGAUGAUCAGCCUCACUGGGACUGAGACACGGCCCAGACUCCUACGGGAGGCAGCAGUGGGGAAUAUUGGACAAUGGGCGCAAGCCUGAUCCAGCCAUGCCGCGUGGGUGAUGAAGGCCCUAGGGUUGUAAAGCCCUUUCGGCGGGGAAGAUAAUGACGGUACCCGCAGAAGAAGCCCCGGCUAACUUCGUGCCAGCAGCCGCCGUAA
Molecule: ribosomal RNA, 447 nt
Filed under: uncultured bacterium
Lineage: Bacteria
Description: partial 16S ribosomal RNA
Rfam family: Bacterial small subunit ribosomal RNA
Source: RNAcentral